This 517-nucleotide ribosomal RNA is filed under the name uncultured Acaulospora. RNAcentral's name for it is "SSU rRNA". It matches the Rfam family "Eukaryotic small subunit ribosomal RNA", at positions 569 to 1085 of the family's 1831-position model. The record is from RNAcentral. Lineage: Eukaryota; Fungi; Glomeromycota; Glomeromycetes; Diversisporales; Acaulosporaceae.
CGCAGCCGCGGUAAUUCCAGCUCCAAUAGCGUAUAUUAAAGUUGUUGCAGUUAAAAAGCUCGUAGUUGAAUUUCGGGGUUCAUCCGUUGGUCGGGCUUUUUGGUCUGUACUGGCGUGAUGGAUUCCUACCUUCUGAAUAACCAGCAUGUCAUUAAUUUGGUGCGCUGGGGAAGCAGGACUGUUACCUUGAAAAAAUUAGAGUGCUUAAAGCAGGCUAUCGCCUGAAUACAUUAGCAUGGAAUAAUGAAAUAGGACGGCAUGGUUCUAUUUUGUUGGUUUCUAGGAUCACCGUAAUGAUUAAUAGGGAUAGUUGGGGGCAUUAGUAUUCAAUUGUCAGAGGUGAAAUUCUUGGAUUUAUUGAAGACUAACUUCUGCGAAAGCAUUUGCCAAGGAUGUUUUCAUUAAUCAAGAACGAAAGUUAGGGGAUCGAAGACGAUCAGAUACCGUCGUAGUCUUAACCAUAAACUAUGCCGACUAGGGAUCGGACGAUGUUAAUUUUUUAAUGACUCGUUCGGCG